GGUGGCAUUUCUGGUGCGGGCAAUCACUGCCAGAGUUAAAGACGGGGUGUCAGAAGGGGACCAUGGCCAACAGUGAGCUUACCUUCAUCGCCAUCAAGCCUGAUGGGGUCCAGCGGGGCCUUCUGGGAGAGAUCAUCAAGCGAUUCAAAUAGAAGGGAUUAUGCCUUGUUGGUUUGAAAUUUACGCAGGCUUCAGAAGAUCUUCUCAAGGAGCACUACAGUGACCUGAAGGACCGUCCCUUCUUUACUGGCCUGGUGAAGUACAUGCACUCAGGACUAGUGGUUGCUAUGGUCUGGGAGGGACUGAAUGUUGUGAAGACAGGCCGGGUGAUGCUUGGAGAGAC
Molecule: long non-coding RNA, 343 nt
Filed under: Rattus norvegicus (Norway rat)
Lineage: Eukaryota; Metazoa; Chordata; Mammalia; Rodentia; Muridae
Description: long non-coding RNA NONRATT004639
Source: RNAcentral